AAUUCGAUUAGUUUGAUCAUGGCUCAGAUCGAACGCUGGCGGCAUGGCUAAAACAUGCAAGUCGAACGCGAAAGGGGGCAACCCCGAGUAGAGUGGCGUAAGGGCGAGUAAUGCAUUUCUAACGUACCUCAGACUCGAGGAUAGCUCACCGAAAGGUGAAUUAAUACUCGAUGAUGCUCACGGGUUGUAUGACCUGUGUGCCAAAGGCUUGCUGGUCUGAGAGCGGGGAAUGUCCUAUCAGGUAGUUGGUGAGGUAACGGCUCACCAAGCCUAAGACGGGUAGCGGGUGUGAGAGCACGACCCGCCGCAUCGGAACUGAGACACUGUCCGGACUCCUACGGGAGGCUGCAGUAACGAAUAUUCCACAAUGCGCGAAAGCGUGAUGGAGCGAUGCCGCGUGCAGGAUGAAGCCCCUCGGGGUGUAAACUGCUGUCAGGGUUUAACAAAAAAAUGAGUAGACCCAGAGGAAGAGACGGCUAACUCUGUGCCAGCAGCCGCGGUAAUACAGAGGUCUCGAGCGUUGAUCGGAAUUAUUGGGCUUAAAGGGUGCGUAGGCGGUCCUGUCAGUGCCUUGUGAAAUCCCAUGGCUCAACCAUGGAAUUGCUCGGUAGACCACAGGACUUGAGGUCGGUAGGGGUCGCUGGAACUCUAGGUGGAGCGGUGAAAUGCGUAGAUAUCUAGAGGAACGCCAAAGGUGAAGACAGGCGACUGGGCCGAUUCUGACGCUGAGGCACGAAAGCGUGGGUAGCGAACGGGAUUAGAUACCCCGGUAGUCCACGCCCUAAACGAUGU
This 792-nucleotide ribosomal RNA is filed under the name uncultured bacterium. RNAcentral describes it as "bacterial SSU rRNA". It matches the Rfam family "Bacterial small subunit ribosomal RNA", at positions 1 to 812 of the family's 1533-position model. The record is from RNAcentral.